UGAAGAAUUUGUCCAACGGCGGGGGAUAGCCGGCCCAACGGCCGGGUAAUACCGCGUACGACCCUCGGGGGGCAUCCCCUGAAGGUGAAAGCCGCAAGGCGCCGAUGGAGAACUUCGCGGCCUAUCAGCUAGUUGGUGAGGUCGUGGCUCACCGAGGCGACGACGGGUAGCUGGUCUGAGAGGAUGGCCAGCCACAUUGGGACUGAGACACGGCCCAGACUCCUACGGGAGGCAG
Molecule: ribosomal RNA, 235 nt
Filed under: uncultured bacterium
Lineage: Bacteria
Description: partial 16S ribosomal RNA
Rfam family: Bacterial small subunit ribosomal RNA
Source: RNAcentral